UACGAAGGGGGCUAGCGUUGUUCGGAUUUACUGGGCGUAAAGCGCACGUAGGCGGAUCGAUCAGUCAGGGGUGAAAUCCCAGAGCUCAACUCUGGAACUGCCUUUGAUACUGUCGAUCUGGAGUAUGGAAGAGGUGAGUGGAAUUCCGAGUGUAGAGGUUAAAUUCGUAGAUAUUCGGAGGAACACCAGUGGCGAAGGCGGCUCACUGGUCCAUUACUGACGCUGAGGUGCGAAAGCGUGGGGAGCAAACAGG
RNAcentral lists this ribosomal RNA (253 nucleotides) under uncultured bacterium. Its description in RNAcentral is "partial 16S ribosomal RNA". It matches the Rfam family "Bacterial small subunit ribosomal RNA", at positions 524 to 776 of the family's 1533-position model. The record is from RNAcentral.